AUAAUACUCCCUCCGUCCCAAAAUUCUUGUCUUAGAUUUGUCAAGAUACGGAUGUAUCUGACACUAAAAUGUAACUAGAUACAUCUGUAUUUGGACAAAUAUAAGACAAACAUUUUGGGACAAAGUAUAAA
This is a non-coding RNA of Triticum aestivum (bread wheat), 131 nucleotides long. Lineage: Eukaryota; Viridiplantae; Streptophyta; Magnoliopsida; Poales; Poaceae. The record is from Rfam.